GUGCAGUUGGCGGUUACAUCAGAAUCGGCCGUUAAAACGCGCUAAUAUUAAAAGCGAAAUAACUCGAAUAUAAUCAAAUAUGACAUUAAACCGAAACGAGAAAUGCUCAAACACUAAGUCUGAGAGAGAGAUUUUAGAUGGGUGAAUCCUUAAUUGGCCCCCUUGGGACAGGAAGCAACCCAGACGCACAACUAUUGAGGAGAAUCGAUGGGAAAGAAAGCACGAUUGAAUAGACUACAAGGAAAGAGAGAACGAGAGUGCUCAUGAGUGAACAGAAUGUAAGGACAAAGGUAUUAUUGAUGAUGCCGGAGGAAAGACCCUCUUCUCCAUCUCUCCUCCUCCGUCGUUCAUGGCUUGUUCAUCCAUCCCCAGUGUCUCUGACUCCUGCGGAGCUUCAGUGUGUCCACAGGAAUUAUCAGACCAAGACCUCUGCCACCAGAGUCGAGCCCUCACAAGAAUAACAGUGUGUUCCAAUGCAUGUGCAAGAAAAAAAGCCAAGGGAAAUUCCCAAGAGGGUUCCAGACAGUUUACACAAAGAGUCAGAGAUUAGACUUCUCUCACCAUCCUCCAAUUACUGGCUUUGCAUAUUUCCUUAUCACACGUAGAUUCAGAGCUUAUGCAUGUCUCAUCUCAAUACCUUCGAGCCAUUUAAUAAGGAGACCCCAAGUUGGACGAAGAAAAGAGGGAGAGGUGUGGUUGAGCAUGCUUUUAUACAUGAAAAUGGAUUGCAUGUUAUGCCAAGUAGAGAUCCGUGCAAUGAGGAUAAAAAAAAACAUUGACAUACAAGUGUUCCAGUGUCAACACUUUCAGUGUAGACAAAGCAGUGUUUUAGUGCAUCAAUGGUCACGUCUUGUUCAAACAGGGUGUCAUGCUCACCAUUGAUACUGUACAUAGUGUAUAGUAAUUAAGAUUAAGUGCAAA
Triplophysa dalaica is the source of this 921-nucleotide long non-coding RNA. RefSeq lists it as uncharacterized. The transcript has 3 exons. NCBI's taxonomy places the organism in Eukaryota, Metazoa, Chordata, Actinopteri, Cypriniformes, Nemacheilidae. The record is from RefSeq and is a predicted model, not a curated record.